UUUGGUUUUGUGUCCGUUGUUCGUUCUUUGCUUUAGAGUUUUAGUGUCGUGUCAAGGAAGGGAGUUGCUUCUUGUGGCUGAAUUUCAUCAUUAAUUUCUUCUCUUCUGUCAUACUUGAGGACAAGUAUGAUCUAAGUGUGAGGGGAUUUGAUGUGUGUAUUUUAGCUACUUAGUUUGGUGUGUGUUUCGCCAUGAUUUUUAUAUGAUUUUACAUGGUUUGUGACAUUUUGGGCAGGAAUUAGAUGGUUGGAGAUGGAUGCUCGUGGAUGGAAGAAGUUGUGAAAGUCGAGAAAUUGGUUGAAGAAGUUGGUGAAUUUGUGGAGAAUUUUAGAGAUUGGGCUUGAAGAUGAUUGUUCCAAAUUUAAUUAAGUCCAAAACUCAUAUUUUUAAGUAUUUUGGGUUUGAUUUUUAUUUAGGGCCGAAGCCCGUAGGGAUAAGAGAGGCGGUGGCUUAAGGGAGUCUUAAUUCCCUAAUUUUUGUUUCCAUAUAGCCGCAUAGUUAUUAUAUUGAUAGGAGGAUUCUGGUUUUAUCAUUAUC
RNAcentral lists this long non-coding RNA (537 nucleotides) under Salvia miltiorrhiza (redroot sage). RNAcentral describes it as "long non-coding RNA (SMIL_LNC013012)". Lineage: Eukaryota; Viridiplantae; Streptophyta; Magnoliopsida; Lamiales; Lamiaceae. The record is from RNAcentral.